CACGUAGGGCGCAAGCGUUGUCCGGAAUUAUUGGGCGUAAAGAGCUCGUAGGUGGUUUGUUACGUCCGCUGUGAAAUCCUAGGGCUUAACCCUGGGCUUGCAGUGGAUACGGGCAGACUAGAGGUAGGUAGGGGAGAAUGGAAUUCCUGGUGUAGCGGUGAAAUGCGCAGAUAUCGGGAAGAACACCCGUGGCGAAGGCGGCUCUCUGGGACGGUACUGACGCUGAGACGCGAAAGCGUGGGGAGCGAACAGG
Molecule: ribosomal RNA, 253 nt
Filed under: uncultured bacterium
Lineage: Bacteria
Description: partial 16S ribosomal RNA
Rfam family: Bacterial small subunit ribosomal RNA
Source: RNAcentral